AUUGAACGCUGGCGGCAUGCCUUACACAUGCAAGUCGAACGGUAACAGGUCUUCGGAUGCUGACGAGUGGCGAACGGGUGAGUAAUACAUCGGAACGUGCCUAGUAGUGGGGGAUAACUACUCGAAAGAGUGGCUAAUACCGCAUGAGAUCUACGGAUGAAAGAAGGGGAUCGCAAGACCUUGUGCUACUAGAGCGGCCGAUGGCAGAUUAGGUAGUUGGUGGGAUAAAAGCUUACCAAGCCGACGAUCUGUAGCUGGUCUGAGAGGACGAUCAGCCACACUGGGACUGAGACACGGCCCAGAAUCCUACGGGAGGCAGCAGUGGGGAAUUUUGGACAAUGGGCGAAAGACUGAUCCAGCAAUGCCGCGCGCAGGAUGAAGGCCUUCGGGUUGUAAACUGCUUUUGUACGGAACGAAAAGCCCCGGGUUAAUACCCUGGGGUCAUGACGGUACCGUAAGAAUAAGCACCGGCUAACUACGUGCCAGCCGCCGCAGUAA
RNAcentral lists this ribosomal RNA (498 nucleotides) under uncultured bacterium. Its description in RNAcentral is "partial 16S ribosomal RNA". It matches the Rfam family "Bacterial small subunit ribosomal RNA", at positions 30 to 523 of the family's 1533-position model. The record is from RNAcentral.